This 844-nucleotide ribosomal RNA is filed under the name uncultured bacterium. RNAcentral's name for it is "bacterial SSU rRNA". It matches the Rfam family "Bacterial small subunit ribosomal RNA", at positions 74 to 911 of the family's 1533-position model. The record is from RNAcentral.
AGCAGCUUGCUGCUUCGCUGACGAGUGGCGGACGGGUGAGUAAUGUCUGGGAAACUGCCUGAUGGAGGGGGAUAACUACUGGAAACGGUGGCUAAUACCGCAUAACGUCGCAAGACCAAAGAGGGGGACCUUCGGGCCUCUUGCCAUCAGAUGUGCCCAGAUGGGAUUAGCUUGUUGGUGAGGUAACGGCUCACCAAGGCGACGAUCCCUAGCUGGUCUGAGAGGAUGACCAGCCACACUGGAACUGAGACACGGUCCAGACUCCUACGGGAGGCAGCAGUGGGGAAUAUUGCACAAUGGGCGCAAGCCUGAUGCAGCCAUGCCGCGUGUAUGAAGAAGGCCUUCGGGUUGUAAAGUACUUUCAGCGGGGAGGAAGGUGUUGUGGUUAAUAACCGCAGCAAUUGACGUUACCCGCAGAAGAAGCACCGGCUAACUCCGUGCCAGCAGCCGCGGUAAUACGGAGGGUGCAAGCGUUAAUCGGAAUUACUGGGCGUAAAGCGCACGCAGGCGGUCUGUCAAGUCGGAUGUGAAAUCCCCGGGCUCAACCUGGGAACUGCAUUCGAAACUGGCAGGCUUGAGUCUUGUAGAGGGGGGUAGAAUUCCAGGUGUAGCGGUGAAAUGCGUAGAGAUCUGGAGGAAUACCGGUGGCGAAGGCGGCCCCCUGGACAAAGACUGACGCUCAGGUGCGAAAGCGUGNGGAGCAAACAGGAUUAGAUACCCUGGUAGUCCANGCCGUAAACGAUGUCUACUUGGAGGUUGUGCCCUUGAGGCGUGGCUUCCGGAGCUAACGCGUUAAGUAGACCGGCUGGGGAGUACGGCCGCAAGGUUAAAACUCAAAUGAAUU